This is a Y RNA of Ailuropoda melanoleuca (giant panda), 101 nucleotides long. It matches the Rfam family "Y RNA". Rfam says of the family: Y RNAs are components of the Ro ribonucleoprotein particle (Ro RNP), in association with Ro60 and La proteins. The Y RNAs and Ro60 and La proteins are well conserved, but the function of the Ro RNP is not known. The record is from Ensembl. Lineage: Eukaryota; Metazoa; Chordata; Mammalia; Carnivora; Ursidae.
GGUGGGUCCAAGUGCAGUGGUGUUUACCAUUAAUUGAUCACAGCCAGUUACAGAUUUCUUUGUUCCUUCUUCACUCCCAUUGAUUCACUUGACUAGCAGAA